AGGUAGUUAGUUUAAUUAAAACAAAUGAUUUCGACCCAUUAGAUUAUGAUAGCUUCAUAACUACCAA
RNAcentral lists this transfer RNA (67 nucleotides) under Toromys grandis (Giant armored tree-rat). RNAcentral's name for it is "tRNA-Arg". It matches the Rfam family "tRNA". Rfam says of the family: Transfer RNA (tRNA) molecules are approximately 80 nucleotides in length. Their secondary structure includes four short double-helical elements and three loops (D, anti-codon, and T loops). Lineage: Eukaryota; Metazoa; Chordata; Mammalia; Rodentia; Echimyidae. The record is from RNAcentral.